UACGUAGGGGGCAAGCGUUGUCCGGAUUUAUUGGGCGUAAAGAGCUCGUAGGCGGCUCGGUAAGUCGGAUGUGAAACCUCCAGGCUCAACCUGGAGACGCCAUCUGAUACUGCCGUGGCUUGAGUCCGGUAGAGGAGCAGGGAAUUCCAGGUGUAGCGGUGAAAUGCGCAGAUAUCAGGAGGAACACCGGUGGCGAAGGCGCCACUCUGGGCCGGUACUGACGCUGAGGAGCGAAAGCGUGGGUAGCAAACAGG
RNAcentral lists this ribosomal RNA (254 nucleotides) under uncultured bacterium. RNAcentral's name for it is "partial 16S ribosomal RNA". It matches the Rfam family "Bacterial small subunit ribosomal RNA", at positions 524 to 776 of the family's 1533-position model. The record is from RNAcentral.